RNAcentral lists this ribosomal RNA (253 nucleotides) under uncultured bacterium. Its description in RNAcentral is "partial 16S ribosomal RNA". It matches the Rfam family "Bacterial small subunit ribosomal RNA", at positions 524 to 776 of the family's 1533-position model. The record is from RNAcentral.
UACGGGGGGUGCAAGCGUUGUUCGGAAUUACUGGGCGUAAAGGGCUCGUAGGCGGCCAACUAAGUCAGACGUGAAAUCCCUCGGCUUAACCGGGGAACUGCGUCUGAUACUGGAUGGCUUGAGAUUGGGAGAGGGAUGCGGAAUUCCAGGUGUAGCGGUGAAAUGCGUAGAUAUCUGGAGGAACACCGGUGGCGAAGGCGGCAUCCUGGACCAACACUGACGCUGAGGAGCGAAAGCCAGGGGAGCAAACGGG